This 74-nucleotide transfer RNA is filed under the name Armatimonadota bacterium. Its description in RNAcentral is "Armatimonadetes bacterium (hot springs metagenome) tRNA-Val". It matches the Rfam family "tRNA". Rfam says of the family: Transfer RNA (tRNA) molecules are approximately 80 nucleotides in length. Lineage: Bacteria; Bacillati; Armatimonadota. The record is from RNAcentral.
GGGAAUUUGCUUGAAAUUCAAGUGCUUGCUUCACGAGCAAGAGGUCGCAGGUUCAAGUCCUGCACCGCCCACCA